ACUCACCCAGACCAAUUACUAGUCCUGGAAGCUCCACUCAUGUAAGAGUCACAUCUCUCGGUCGUUCUCAGCAGUUUCCAGAGAGACUCAAGCUGUUGCCAGGGAGCAUCCAGCAGACGGGAAGACAGAUGAUGCUGGAGACUGAGGAGCGACCUGCUGGAAGGAGAACAGUCCUUGGGGCGGAAUUCUGAGUGGGAUCCAACACAUUCAACAGCCGAUUGUGGAAUGAACAAACAACAGCUCAGCGCUUCCUUCUCCAAUGGGAUUAACUCUGCUUUCUCCUGCCC
This 287-nucleotide long non-coding RNA is filed under the name Homo sapiens (human). RNAcentral describes it as "HSALNT0232464". The record is from RNAcentral. Lineage: Eukaryota; Metazoa; Chordata; Mammalia; Primates; Hominidae.